UUGGGUUGACUUUUUGACUUGAGUUAAAGAUCUUAGCUUUAUCUUUUGGAAUCACUUCCUAUGGCUUUUAUUGAUAGUAUUACGUUAUUUUGGCUAGAUUCGAGCCUUUCGAAGGUUGAUACAUGCAGCAAGGGCUUGUUAGCGGAGUGAUUUGGUUUGCUUAAGGUGCUGGAGACUCGAAUGGUCGGUGUAGACUUCACACGGAACGUUGUACAGAUAGUGCCACUAAAUCAAGCAAAAGUACAAGAAUCCUCCCAUUUACAUCACUGAAAAUGGAAUGGCUGAUGCCAACAAUAGUACAUUGCCACUUAAAUAAGCCCUUAAGGAUGAUUUGAGGAUAAGGUAUUACGAGGGACACCUAUGGUUUUUGUCAAAAGCCAUAAAGGCGGGGGCAAAUGUGAAAGGACAUUUUGCAUGGUCAUUAUUAGAUGACUAUGAAUGGGAUGCUGGUUUCACUGUCCGAUUUGGCAUCAGUUUUGUUGACUACAAAAAUGGACUUAAAAGAUACCUCAAGAAAUCUGCUUAUUGGUACAAGAAGUUCCUCUUGAAUACUGGCAAAUAAAUAUGAGUCUGACUUGGCUCCUGCCUCUUCAAAUUACUACCUAGCCAUUCUUCUGCAAUUUAUAAUUCACGUCUGUUUUUUUUUUAAAUGUUCUUUUUAACUUAAAGAGUAUUCUUGUGAGGAUCUUCUCUUAUGUCAUGCGUUAAGUAAAAUAAACUGAGGAAUGCCUCAUUAUCAUUUGUACUACUGUCAUUCAUAACCUACUAGCUUACAACGGGA
Molecule: long non-coding RNA, 781 nt
Organism: Nicotiana attenuata
Lineage: Eukaryota; Viridiplantae; Streptophyta; Magnoliopsida; Solanales; Solanaceae
Exons: 4
Source: RefSeq, a predicted model, not a curated record